Molecule: ribosomal RNA, 229 nt
Filed under: uncultured bacterium
Lineage: Bacteria
Description: partial 16S ribosomal RNA
Rfam family: Bacterial small subunit ribosomal RNA
Source: RNAcentral
UGCGUAGGCGGACUAAUAAGUCAGUGGUGAAAUCUCUCGGCUCAACCGGGAAACCGCCAUUGAUACUGUUAGUCUUGAGUUCGGUUGAGGUAGGCGGAAUGUGUAAUGUAGCGGUGAAAUGCUUAGAUAUUACACAGAACACCAAUUGCGUAGGCAGCUUACUAGACCGACACUGACGCUGAGGCACGAAAGCGUGGGGAGCGAACAGGAUUAGAUACCCUGGUAGUCC